Physeter macrocephalus (sperm whale) is the source of this 766-nucleotide long non-coding RNA. RefSeq lists it as uncharacterized. The record is from RefSeq and is a predicted model, not a curated record. The transcript is spliced from 3 exons. Lineage: Eukaryota; Metazoa; Chordata; Mammalia; Artiodactyla; Physeteridae.
GCUGAACACCACCCCCCCCACCUUUCUCUGAAAGCAGGAGGGGAAAGCCGUGGGAAAGACCCCCUCCUGGCACCAGGAGGAAAGAAGCCUUCUUACCGCCAGCGACGGGGGAGUCAGGCCGAGAGGACUCUCAGCGAACAGACUCGUUAAAGUGACUCUCACGUCCCUUCACCUCCCAGUUAGUCACUCCCCAUAUGAUGGUCUCUCUCUACCAGAGCCAGCUUGGGGCUUGAGGAUCGAAAGUUCUCAAAGCAAAAACAAACAGAACUGCAGACAACCCCGAUUCCCCCUGCAAUGAGCAGACACGUGUGACCAGAAGCUGUUUGGCCCUAAAACGGUCUGGGCCACAGCCUCAGCGGCUGCACCCAAAGCUGCGUGGAAAACGCUUGUCGUAGAAAACGCAUUUGGUACGAUUCCACUUAUCGGCCUUAAAAACGGUACAGAACUAAACAAGGCAGUGUGCAGGGAGGAGAUAAAAUGUAAGGGGUAAUAAAAUGGGCAAAGUCAGGUGUGGUUUCUGGGGGGCAGAGGAGGGGAGCUGGGCCCCUGCCUUCAGAGGACACAUAGGAAGCAAAUAAAUGUUUAUUGACUUUUUUAUAUUUACCCAUUUAUUUAUUAUUUUUAACUUUCUCUGUUUCUUUCUGUGGAUUCGAGGUUUCAUCUGCUGUCGUUUCCAACAGAGCAUCAGUGCCACUCCCCUGCCUGUGCCUCUAUUAUCAAGUAUCGUGCAGUCAUGUGUUAAAGCCCCAAUGGUACAAUUUGAUAG